Molecule: unclassified non-coding RNA, 906 nt
Filed under: Hevea brasiliensis (rubber tree)
Lineage: Eukaryota; Viridiplantae; Streptophyta; Magnoliopsida; Malpighiales; Euphorbiaceae
Source: RNAcentral
GGGAGUCUAUGCAGCCAAUUCAUUUAUAAAAACUUUCCUGUUACAGUACUCUCAGAAAUCAAUGAUUUUGAAAUUUACCCCGGUUAUUCACAAGCUCUCCCCAUAUCCCACCAGCUCCAGCAUGGUUUAUCUCCUCGAAGAAUAUUCCAAACAGCGUUUCUGGUAUCACCCGACCCGCAGAAGCAUUAACGAACAAUCGUGCAGUCAGGUUCGCAUCAAGUUCAACAGCAGAGCAUCGAUAUGUAAAACAAAGGCCGACGAAGAAAAAGCUCAGAAGAAGAGUGCAAGAAAGCUUCCACGAACCCAUAUGUUCACUCACCGCUUACAACACCACCACAAUCUAACGUUAAACAAUUCAGUUAGACCAAUUUGGACCCACUAAACCCGGGGAAAAAAAAAACUAAAAAUAGCUAUGAUCUUCUGCACAUUGACUCAUCAAUCAAAUAAGCAGAAAUAACAGAAAUAUGAAAACUACCAUUUAAACCCAGAAAGCAAAAAAAUAAUCAAAUAAGCAAAUAUAACAGAAAUACGCAAACCACAAAUUGAACCCAGAAAGCAAAAAACGCUAAAAUAGCUCAUUGGACCGUUAUGAUUAAAAGAUAAUAUCGUGUCCACUGAUCCAUUGAAAUGAGAAGAAAUAACAGAAAUAUGAAGUAUGCCCAGAAAAAAUAAUAAUAAUAAUAUUGUCAUAAUUAACAGAUAAGAUUGAGUCCAUUGACCCAGAUGAGCAGAAACAACAGAAAUUUGCAGUCUGCCAAUAAAAAAUAACAAUAAUAAUGAUAAAGAAAGCUAAAUUAGGUUGGUUAGCUGUUAUGGUUAACAGACUAACUUGUGCACAUUCAUCCAACCAUCAAAUGAGCAUAAACAAAACAAAUAUACAGUGAAAUAAAAUAAUCAAGAAAGAAG